CGUAGGGGGCAAGCGUUGUCCGGAAUUAUUGGGCGUAAAGGGCGCGUAGGCGGAUAGUUAAGUCCGGUGUGAAAGAUCAGGGCUCAACCCUGAGAGUGCAUCGGAAACUGGUUAUCUUGAGGACAGGAGAGGAAAGUGGAAUUCCACGUGUAGCGGUGAAAUGCGUAGAUAUGUGGAGGAACACCAGUGGCGAAGGCGACUUUCUGGACUGUAACUGACGCUGAGGCGCGAAAGCGUGGGGAGCAAACAGGAUUAGAUACCCUGGUAGUCCACGCUGUAAACGAUGAGUGCUAGGUGUAGAGGGUAUCGACCCUUCUGUGCCGCAGUUAACACAAUAAGCACUCCGCCUGGGGAGUACGGCCGCAAGGUUG
RNAcentral lists this ribosomal RNA (371 nucleotides) under uncultured organism. RNAcentral describes it as "bacterial SSU rRNA". It matches the Rfam family "Bacterial small subunit ribosomal RNA", at positions 526 to 896 of the family's 1533-position model. The record is from RNAcentral.